RNAcentral lists this unclassified non-coding RNA (345 nucleotides) under soil metagenome. Its description in RNAcentral is "partial contains 5.8S ribosomal RNA, internal transcribed spacer 2, and large subunit ribosomal RNA". The stretch from base 1 to 120 matches the Rfam family "5.8S ribosomal RNA", at positions 35 to 154 of the family's 154-position model. The record is from RNAcentral.
GAUGAAGAACGUAGCAAAAUGCGAUAAGUAAUGUGAAUUGCAGAAUUCAGUGAAUCAUCGAAUCUUUGAACGCACAUUGCGCCCGCUGGUAUUCCGGCGGGCAUGCCUGUUCGAGCGUCAUUUCAACCCUCAAGCCCCCGGGUUUGGUGUUGGGGAUCGGCUCUGCCUUCUGGCGGUGCCGCCCCCGAAAUACAUUGGCGGUCUCGCUGCAGCCUCCAUUGCGUAGUAGCUAACACCUCGCAACUGGAACGCGGCGCGGCCAUGCCGUAAAACCCCAACUUCUGAAUGUUGACCUCGGAUCAGGUAGGAAUACCCGCUGAACUUAAGCAUAUAAUAAGCGGAGGA